This 253-nucleotide ribosomal RNA is filed under the name uncultured bacterium. RNAcentral describes it as "partial 16S ribosomal RNA". It matches the Rfam family "Bacterial small subunit ribosomal RNA", at positions 524 to 776 of the family's 1533-position model. The record is from RNAcentral.
UACGAAGGGGGCUAGCGUUGCUCGGAAUCACUGGGCGUAAAGCGCACGUAGGCGGCUUCUUAAGUCAGGGGUGAAAUCCUGGAGCUCAACUCCAGAACUGCCUUUGAUACUGAGAAGCUUGAGUCCGGGAGAGGUGAGUGGAACUGCAAGUGUAGAGGUGAAAUUCGUAGAUAUUCGCAAGAACACCAGUGGCGAAGGCGGCUCACUGGCCCGGUUCUGACGCUGAGGCGCGAAAGCGUGGGGAGCAAACAGG